Molecule: ribosomal RNA, 402 nt
Filed under: uncultured bacterium
Lineage: Bacteria
Description: bacterial SSU rRNA
Rfam family: Bacterial small subunit ribosomal RNA
Source: RNAcentral
UGGGGAAUAUUGCACAAUGGGCGAAAGCCUGAUGCAGCAACGCCGCGUGAGUGAUGAAGGCCUUCGGGUUGUAAAGCUCUGUCUUCUGGGACGAUAAUGACGGUACCAGAGGAGGAAGCCACGGCUAACUACGUGCCAGCAGCCGCGGUAAUACGUAGGUGGCAAGCGUUGUCCGGAUUUACUGGGCGUAAAGGAUGCGUAGGCGGAUACUUAAGUCAGAUGUGAAAAUCCCGGGCUUAACUUGGGAACUGCAUUUGAAACUGGGUAUCUAGAGUGCGGGAGAGGAAAGUGGAAUUCCUAGUGUAGCGGUGAAAUGCGUAGAGAUUAGGAAGAACACCAGUGGCGAAGGCGACUUUCUGGACCGUAACCGACGCUGAGGCACGAAAGCGUGGGGAGCAAACA